UUGAGAGGAACACAAAAAUAACAUUUAAAACAUUAAUGAAUCCUGGCAAGAUGUUUUAAUAUUUAACCAUGAAAGUGUUGCAAACAACAAAUACCCUGACAUGGGGUCAAACAAAAUAGCAAGACAGAUGCAGAUUGGUGAAACAGAAUAUCACAUUUUUUUUGCUCUUCAAGAUUUCUGGUAAAACUGAAUGUUAGGUGAUUUCAAGGUAGAUCACCAACCCACAUCUUGCAGUCUGGAAAUUCAGAAUUUUGGAAAAGCAAGUUCUUUGAAGUUUUUAAAUAUUUCAUAGGGUCUAUCAUUCAAUGAUAUACAGUAAUAUUUGUGCAGAUUUCAUUGAUGGUUAAUUUCCAGCAAACUCUAAAUAAAUGAUGCAAAUAUCAACAAAAUAAAUUUCAAUUGUGAACCUAACAAUAUGAAAUUUUUUUCCAGAACUACUAUAUCACCACAUACGUGGCAGUGAACAUAGUACAUGUUAUGCGAACGCUUAUUUCAAAAUAACUCAAAAUAGCAAAUAAUAAAGGAAAAAUAAUGAAAACUACACACUGUAAAGAGAAAAAUAAUUUAGACUAGUAACAAUGAUAGCAUUCAAAGAAAAUAAUGUAAAUUCCGGCUCAAUACAAUUAAACAUCCUCACUAAUCUAGAAAAAUGCAGUGCAAUGAUAAAAUAUAUCAAAUUGGUUUUGAUUGUUCUCUGUCUAUCUCUGCACCUGUAAUUCAUACCCAACUAAAAAAGAAGCCUGGAGUGAAAAUACUCCACCCAUUUUGUUCUCAAGUAAGAUAUCUUGAGUUUUUUCUUAAGAUUCUUUAAGAUUUUUUUUCCAGGAUUAUAAAAAAAAUCCUUUCAAACUGACAUACAUUUAAGGUUUAAUCAUAAUAACAUUCAAUCAAUUAAUACAAAGAAAAUAGAGUGAAAUGGGACCAUUUUAGCCUGCUUUCAUUGCCAUUAGCUGCAGUAUUAAGUUAAAAAAACUGACAUUUUGCAAACUUAGAUCAAAAGUUACUCAAAUCAAUUUUGUUUCUCUGCAUGAACUGCCAGUCUUCUUAACUACAAGUGCAUAGACUGGUAUUACCCAUAGAGUUAUAUGAACCUAACUCUGAGUUAUAUGAACCUAACUCUGUGGUAAUACCCCUCCAAUAUAUCGCUGAUUGAACAGCUUAAUAUCAUGCAAACCCAUAUAGCACUCCCCCAUAAACCUUUUAAAUCACACAAACACGAAUAUCUUUGUAUCAUAGAAAUGUAAACAUAUCAUUAACCCUACAUGGGCACUUCUUGAUCUAUCAUUUAUGCUGAUAAUAUUCAUUUCUACACCUAUGAAUGUUUUGAACAGAAAUAUGGUGCAAUAUCACUGCUGUGGAUCAUCAUCAUAAUACAUACCCUGGAAGAAUUCAAUCAUGCUACUUGGAGAACAUGUAUUUUAUCCUAUGAAUAAGAAAAUGAUAUCUGCAGUGGUUACAUAUUCAAUUCUAAAGGGGCUUCAUAAAAUGUAAUUAUCAUUGUAUAACAUUUUUUGAAAUUUCCAACAUAUGGGUUUUCGAAACUAUAGGUAAAGCUUUCUAAUGAUGUUGAAUCAAAUGAAUUUAAAUGAAUAUCUUAAUGCCAGUUUUCACUCAAAAUAUGACAUAUGGACAGUCUAUUGUCUUACAUGAAAUUACAUGUCGAUAUUCAAACAAACUAUUUCAGUGGUAUCAUAAGUUACAAUGAUGAUAAUUUGAAAUACAUUCUCGAUGUUUUAAACUAUAAUGCAGACUAUUUCUACUUCACUAGUUAGCUAGCUAGCUGCAGCUGGGCUCUGAAAGCAUUCAAUGAAAUACCUGCCUACUCCUGGGUGGAGUGGCGCAAACACAUUUAAAUGCCUUGGUAACAAGAGGCAAUGUACAGGAUGCCAUGGAAAUCUGUGUAUGCAACAAGUCUUGUCACCUAAUUUUUUGUCUAAUGUUUAUGUGCUGGUAGAAUGAUAAUUCUUCACCUAUCUAAAAUGCUUCCUGAGAAUGAUAUGCAUGCAAGAUUCAACCAUGUGGAGCAAGGUAGUUCUACGCAAUUAUGGUUAAUACUGAUAAAGUACAUAAUAUUCCUCUUCAAUAAUUAAACCUGUAAAGCCUUAAUGGUGGGAAGGGGUCAAAUUUACCUGCCUUUGACAAAUUUUGUAACUAUGCCGCUGUGUGGAUUUUUUUCCCAUGUUGCUUGCAGACUCUUUACUUUCAAGUUUGCACAUUUUUUAGGCCAAAUUUGUGACGUCCAGAUACACUGUUCCAAAAUUAUGCAACAUUUUAAGGGCAUGUCAGACAUCAAAUAGCUCAUAGCUCAAAAAUGUGAUUUCAUGUACAAAGUCAACCCAAAAUCAGAAAUGUAUGAUAAUUUUUUUUACUUUUGCUGGUUUAAAUUGGUAUAUUUUAUAUUUACGAUCACCGAACAGGUUGAAAAAAAAGAAACAGAUGCAUAAGAAUUCACAAAACAAUAAAUUACAUAGGAAAUCAAAAGGCUUUCUGAAAAAAUUUUCCUUCUUAAGUAACAUCACACAAUUACCCAAUUUGAGGAUCUAACAAUUAAAGCAAGUUCUGGGAACAAUCACAAAAUUAUUUCUAGGAAAUGACCUUUAAGUGCAAGGUAUAAAAUAAAUACCAUGUGUUUAAUGAUGGGUACAUCUAUUUGCAAGCUAUCAUUUAUGAAAAUGCCCAUGACUGUAUAUCUGUGAUUGUCAGUAUACUCUGAUUACAAUUAGUUUACUUCUUUAAGUUUGCUUAAAUCGGUAAUUUUACUAGCUUUUUUCUCAAGUCCAAUUCCUUUGACUUGAGGCUUAUUUUGUUGCAGUUCAUAUACGAUACUUAUACCAAGUUGGUAUCUGGUCUUAUGGGUAGGAUGCGCGAUAAAAUACAUGAAAGGAUAUUAACAGAAAAGAUCCACAACAAACAAAA
Molecule: long non-coding RNA, 2916 nt
Organism: Lytechinus variegatus (green sea urchin)
Lineage: Eukaryota; Metazoa; Echinodermata; Echinoidea; Temnopleuroida; Toxopneustidae
Exons: 2
Source: RefSeq, a predicted model, not a curated record